RNAcentral lists this long non-coding RNA (237 nucleotides) under Lathyrus oleraceus (garden pea). Its description in RNAcentral is "Pisum sativum (pea) long non-coding RNA (PSAT_LNC001245)". Lineage: Eukaryota; Viridiplantae; Streptophyta; Magnoliopsida; Fabales; Fabaceae. The record is from RNAcentral.
AAAAAUAAUUUUAUUAAUUAGUGUGCUCGCCAAAGAUUCGAACCGUUGUGCCUACAUAUUCUCAUAGUGCAAUGAGAAAAUCGGAGUUUCGUAGUUCGUGGUAGAAAAUACAAAUUUAUUGGUUGUUUUUAUUGAACGAUGUUAAUGUUCGUGUUCUAGCAGUUAAAUGUUUCUUGUAUGAUUGCACAUGAGAGACUUAGGUGUUUGUUCAUAUUGUGGUAGAAUGGAUGCGCUUGG